GGUCCGUCGCCGUCGGCGACCGAGGAGGGCCGCCGCUCCUCCUCCAGCUGCCUCAGCUGCCAGCCAUUACCAAGAACGCGUCAAGAACACGAUCGCCGUCGCACAGGCAAAGCAAUGCAUGGCGAUCAGGCAACGUGUAAGUAACGUAGUAUAUAUCGGUAAGCACGUACCCGUAGGUCGAUCUGGUCGAGGCGGCCGAGCAGGCUGUCGGGCGGCGGCGGCGCGGGGAGGGAGCUGAUGAGCACGCGGCGCUCGGACCCGACGAGCACCUCGGCGGCCAUUGUUGGCGUGCGGUGCAGCAGCGACUAGCUAGUGAUGAAGUCGCAGCAGGCAGGUCGAGUGAGGGAGAUAUAAAGGAGGAGGUGGCCAUCGCCAUCGGGCAUGCAACGUGGGAGGUGGGAGUAAAGAUCGGCGGGGUCGUGUGGACUGGCCUGGUCUCCUCCGCCGCCUUGAUCUCAUCUAAGCUUCUGUCUGCCCUCACCGCCACCACUCGGUCUCCA
Molecule: long non-coding RNA, 500 nt
Filed under: Hordeum vulgare
Lineage: Eukaryota; Viridiplantae; Streptophyta; Magnoliopsida; Poales; Poaceae
Description: long non-coding RNA (HVUL_LNC017399)
Source: RNAcentral